ACUACGGGUGGCAGCAGUGGGGAAUAUUGGGCAAUGGGCGCAAGCCUGACCCAGCAACGCCGCGUGGAGGAAGAAGGCUUUCGGGGUGUGAACUUCUUUUCUCAGGGACGAAGAAAGUGACGGUACCUGAGGAAUAAGCCACGGCUAACUACGUGCCAGCAGCGGCGGUAAUACGUAGGUGGCAAACGUUAUCCGGAUUUAUUGGGUGUAAAGGACGAGGAUGCGGGAGCGCAAGGCAGAGGUGAAAACGGAGGGCUCAACCCUGAGCCUGCCUUUGAAACUGUGUUUCUUGAGUGCUGGAGAGGCAAUCGGAAUUCCGUGCGUAGCGGUGAAAUGCGUAGAUAUACGGAGGAACACCAGUGGCGAAGGCGGAUUGCUGGACAGUAACUGACGCUGAGGCGCGAAAGCGUGGGGAGCAAACAGGAGUAGAUACCCUUGUAGUC
RNAcentral lists this ribosomal RNA (443 nucleotides) under uncultured bacterium. Its description in RNAcentral is "partial 16S ribosomal RNA". It matches the Rfam family "Bacterial small subunit ribosomal RNA", at positions 338 to 795 of the family's 1533-position model. The record is from RNAcentral.